Mauremys mutica (yellowpond turtle) is the source of this 294-nucleotide long non-coding RNA. RefSeq lists it as uncharacterized. The transcript is spliced from 2 exons. The record is from RefSeq and is a predicted model, not a curated record. Lineage: Eukaryota; Metazoa; Chordata; Testudines; Geoemydidae.
GCUACCAUGCUGCUUCACCCAUGUGACACAGAGCCAGCUGUAUGGUAACUAUCACAGUUAAUCUCAGACACUUCCUCUUUACCUUCUAUGGGCCAAAGUGUCAAAGCGCCAGACUCCAGGAAGCAAGCAGCUGUGUCAGCAAGCCAAGUGCAAGCCAGCAGAUGGGGGCAAAGGACAACAUCUCCUGUGUUAAUAAAAAAGACGACCCUGAAAACCAGAAUAGAGCACAGAGAAUAUAAUUUGUCAAUGUUUCCUAAUGUUUUCAAGCAUUAAAGGUGACCUGCUAAGGGGAAA